This 497-nucleotide ribosomal RNA is filed under the name uncultured bacterium. Its description in RNAcentral is "partial 16S ribosomal RNA". It matches the Rfam family "Bacterial small subunit ribosomal RNA", at positions 28 to 507 of the family's 1533-position model. The record is from RNAcentral.
GAUGAACGCUGGCGGCGUGCCUAAUACAUGCAAGUCGAGCGAACAGACGAUGAUCUUGCUCCUCUGACGUUAGCGGCGGACGUGUGAGUAACACGUGUAUAACCUACCUAUAAUUCUGGGAUAACUUCGGGAAACCGGAGCUAAUACCGGAUAAUAUAUUGAACCGCAUGGUUCAAUAGUGAAAUACGGUUUUUCUGUCACUUAUAGAUGGAUCCGCGCCGCAUUAGCUAGUUGGUAAGGUAACGGCUUACCAAGGCAACGAUGCGUAGCCGACCUGAGAGGGUGAGCGGCCACACUGGAAGUGAGACAGGGACAAGAAGCCUAAGGGAGGGAGCAGUAGGGAAUCUUCGGCAAUGGGCGAAAGGAUGACGGAGCAACGCGGAGUGAGAGAUGAAGGUCUUCGGAUCGUAAAACUCUGUUAUUAGGGAAGAACAAAUGUGUAAGUAACUAUGCACGUAUUGACGGUACCGAAUAAGAAAGCAACGGCUAACUACGUG